GUACAAGUCAUUUUAUGAAUUUAUUUCGUGCGAAAACAUGAAUUGUACACGUUGGUUGAUGAUUUUCGGAGUUGUGGCGCUGGUUGAGGUGGAACCAAAGCAUUUAUCUGAUUUUAUAUCUAUAUCUGCGCCUCAUCAGAAGCGGCGUGAUUUUUCAGUGAUAAACUAAAAAAUAAGGAUGUGGAGAGUAUCGAUGAUUUAGUUUCGCCCGAUCUGCAUCUUAAAACGCACGGGAGUUUUAUUCGCGUACGGCGACAGGCAGAUGAUGAAGAGAACGGAAAUGCCGAUUUCAGUCCAGCUGAUUUUCAAAAAUUCAACAGAGAUGAAGGAGCAGAAGAGGAGCAAGAUGGGGAUGAAGCCAGGGAAGAAACAGCAGAUGAUGUGCCUUUGAAUUCAAAAGAACAAGCAGAAGAUGCACCAGAAACAGAAGAAAAGAAAAAUGAAGAAAAGGAAAAAGAAGAAGAAAAAAGAAGAAGAACCUCAAGUAGAGGAAACAGAAAAAUCAACAGAUGAAUCCUCUGAAUCUCCAAAAACUUUCGGUGAUUAUGUCCCGAUUAAAAAAGAAGUCGACUAUGAAUCUAUUUACGUUCUCGCCGGAUUAUCAGGUGAUGAAAAAAAUCAUUUAGCAGAGGAACUAGCUGAAAAACUGUUCAAUGAAAACUUUGAAGUGUCAACUGAAGCACCAAAAAGUGGAGAAGAGCAAUCUGGAGAACCCGAAGAAGAUCGAUGAGUGUACAAACCAAUAAAAAGAUAAAAAUGUUAUCAAAUACAUAAAGUAAUAAAACCCAUUCAACAAAUAAACAA
Long non-coding RNA from Dalotia coriaria, 804 nucleotides. RefSeq lists it as uncharacterized. The transcript is spliced from 2 exons. The record is from RefSeq and is a predicted model, not a curated record. Lineage: Eukaryota; Metazoa; Arthropoda; Insecta; Coleoptera; Staphylinidae.